RNAcentral lists this ribosomal RNA (484 nucleotides) under uncultured bacterium. RNAcentral describes it as "partial 16S ribosomal RNA". It matches the Rfam family "Bacterial small subunit ribosomal RNA", at positions 30 to 507 of the family's 1533-position model. The record is from RNAcentral.
AUCGAACGCUGGCGGCAGGCCUAACACAUGCAAGUCGAGCGGAUGCAGGGAGCUUGCUCCUGGAUUCAGCGGCGGACGGGUGAGUAAUGCCUAGGAAUUUGCAUGGUAGUGGGGGAUAACGUCCGGAAACGGGCGCUAAUACCGCAUACGUACUGAGGGAGACAGUGGGGGAUCUUCGGACGUCACGCUAUCAGAUGAGCCUAGGUCUGAUUAGCUAGUUGGUGGGGUAAAGGCCUACCAAGGCGACGAUCCGUAACUGGUCUGAGAGGAUGAUCCGUCACAUUGUAACUGAGGAACGGUCCAGACUCCUACGGGAAGCAGCAGUGGAGAAUAUUAGACGAUGGACGAAAGCCUGAUCCAGCCAAGCCGCGUGUGUGAAGAAGGUGUUCUGACGGGAAAGCACUGUAAGUUGGAAGGAAGUGCAGUAAGUUAAGACCUUGCUGUAAUGACGUUACCAACAGAAUAAGCACCGGCUAACUUCGUG